AAAAGAGACCCUGCCCAUGCAAAUGGGGCAGGGAAGUGGACAUGUCAGAAAGCGAGGGUUAUGAGGACAGGUUCUGGAUUCAGCCUGCCCGAAUGCAGUUCCUCCUAAGUGAUCUUGGACAAGUUACUUAAACUAUCCAAGUGUCAGUUUCCUCAUAUUUAAGAUGGCGAUAAGAAUAGCACCCGCCUUCUGGAAUUGUUAAAAGGUCGAAAUCCCGUGUAAAGAUCUUAACACAGGCAAGGGUUGGCAAACUUUUUCUAUGAAGAGCCAGAGAGUCAACAUUUUAGGCUUUGUGACACCAUAGGCUUUGGGGUUUCUGUUGCAACCACUCGGCCCUGCUGUUGUAGCUUGAAAGCAGCCACAGACAGUCUGCAAAUGGAAGGGCGUGGCUAUGUUCCAAUAACACUGCGCUUUUCAAAACAGGUGAGGGGCUGGGUUUGGCCUGCAGGCUGUCGUUUGCCGACCCCUGGCUCAGCACAGGGCCUGGCUAAGUGGGCACAAUGGGUUUUUCAUAAAUGCCAGCCAUUCUUCCAGCCUGGGGACAGCUCCUUGACAUCAGUCUCCUUGUUCAUUUGCUUUGUGUUUUUAACAGAAUGUCGAGGUCUUGGCGAGCAGGAGCAACACUUCAGAGCAAGACCAGGCGGGGACUGAAAUGCGCGUGAAGCUUCUGCAGGAGGAGAAUGAGAAGCUGCAGGGAAGAAGCGAAGAGCUGGAGCGGAGAGUUGCUCAGCUUCAAAGGCAGAUCGAGGACCUGAAAGGCGAUGAAGCCAAGGCGAAGGAAACGCUGAAGAAGUACGAGGGAGAAAUACGACAGUUAGAGGAGGCCCUUGUGCACGCC
This 838-nucleotide long non-coding RNA is filed under the name Homo sapiens (human). RNAcentral's name for it is "HSALNT0220752". The record is from RNAcentral. Lineage: Eukaryota; Metazoa; Chordata; Mammalia; Primates; Hominidae.